This 429-nucleotide ribosomal RNA is filed under the name Acidobacteriota bacterium. RNAcentral describes it as "Acidobacteria bacterium partial 16S ribosomal RNA". It matches the Rfam family "Bacterial small subunit ribosomal RNA", at positions 355 to 776 of the family's 1533-position model. Lineage: Bacteria; Pseudomonadati; Acidobacteriota. The record is from RNAcentral.
UGGGGAAUUUUGGACAAUGGGGGAAACCCUGAUCCAGCCAUCCCGCGUGUGCGAUGAAGGCCUUCGGGUUGUAAAGCACUUUUGGCAGGAAAGAAACGUCAUGGGUUAAUACCCCGUAAAACUGCCGGUCCCUGCAGAAUAACAACCGGCUAACUACGUGCCAGCAGCCGCGGUAAUACGUAGGGUGCAAGCGUUAAUCGGAAUUACUGGGCGUAAAGCGUGCGCAGGCGGUUCGGAAAGAAAGAUGUGAAAUCCCAGAGCUCAACUUUGGAACUGCAUUUUUAACUACCGGGCUAGAGUGUGUCAGAGGGAGGUGGAAUUCCGCGUGUAGCAGUGAAAUGCGUAGAUAUGCGGAGGAACACCGAUGGCGAAGGCAGCCUCCUGGGAUAACACUGACGCUCAUGCACGAAAGCGUGGGGAGCAAACAGG